Molecule: non-coding RNA, 132 nt
Organism: Anopheles gambiae (African malaria mosquito)
Lineage: Eukaryota; Metazoa; Arthropoda; Insecta; Diptera; Culicidae
Source: Rfam
AGCAAUACCUCGCUGAUACGGGGGUGAAUCCGCAGCCUCUAGAAGGCUAUCAUAGGCUCUCCACCUCCUACACCCAGUGGUGGAUUUAACGGUACGCGGACUGAGCGCGGGAGGCCCCGUCUAUUUAGGGGC